This is a non-coding RNA of Camelina sativa (false flax), 672 nucleotides long. The record is from RefSeq and is a predicted model, not a curated record. Lineage: Eukaryota; Viridiplantae; Streptophyta; Magnoliopsida; Brassicales; Brassicaceae.
GAUGAUAAUUUACGAAAGAAAAAACAUGAGUCUGCUAGAUAUUGAUCUGAGGUUGACAACUUGCAGGUACCAACUGAUCUCCACAAGAAGCGACUUGCAAUGGUGCGUGCUUUACUAGAAUCCUCAAAACCAGAGACGAAUGCAAGCAACUCUAAGGAAACUAUGAGACAAGUGAUGGUGAACCCAAAUAGUGGAAAUCAUCUCUUAAGAGCAUCACCAAGUUCAGAGCAAUUGGUUUCGCAAACGUCCGGUCCUCACAUGUUGCAACAUAUGACACGUUACUAAAGUACUUGAAUAUAAAAGUCUGAGCCAGCUCUCACUGCUAUGUUCAUCUUCUUGGUUUCAGGAGUUUACACAUCUAUGGAGAGAGUGAAGCACAAAGAGUCAAACUGUAUGUAUUAUAUAUAUUAAUUCAUGAGUCUUAUAGGCAAUCAAAUAAUACAGGUGAUUUGUUUUUUUUUCAUAGUUGUGACUCAAACUAUUUCUUCUUCUUUUCAGUGGGUUUUUUGUUUUUUUUUUUCUUCUUUAUAUUUUUUUAGUUGUCCACUUCAUUUUAAGCUUGAAAGUUUUAGUCUUUUUGCUGAAUCAGCAAGUCAGCAGCGAGUUCCAUGUUUUUUUUGGCUUUGCUGCAAUGUGUGAAAUAAUGUCCACUAUGUAUAAUAUUUACUCAAA